RNAcentral lists this ribosomal RNA (310 nucleotides) under Proteus mirabilis. RNAcentral's name for it is "partial 23S ribosomal RNA". It matches the Rfam family "Bacterial large subunit ribosomal RNA", at positions 505 to 641 of the family's 2925-position model. The record is from RNAcentral. Lineage: Bacteria; Pseudomonadati; Pseudomonadota; Gammaproteobacteria; Enterobacterales; Morganellaceae.
GAGGGAAAGGCGAAAAGAACCCCGGCGAGGGGAGUGAAAAAGAACCUGAAACCGUGUACGUACAAGCAGUAGGAGCCCCAUCACUCAAGUGCCUCGCACUGAGUGAUGCAAGAACAUCACCGAAAAUAGCGCCGAAUUUGCUAACAAGGUUGGUCGAUUUUUUCAAACCGUCGCGCAGUGUACCUAGAAGUACACGAGCAACGGAAGUUAAAAAAUCGGGCAAGAUUGAACGCAAAGGCAAGCGGGACAUUUGAGGAUGGGGUGACUGCGUACCUUUUGUAUAAUGGGUCAGCGACUUAUAUUCUGUAGC